GACGAACGCUGGCGGCGUGCUUAACACAUGCAAGUCGAACGGAAAGGCCCUGCUUUUGUGGGGUGCUCGAGUGCCGAACGGGUGAGUAACACGUGAGUAACCUGCCCUUGACUUUGGGAUAACUUCAGGAAACUGGGGCUAAUACCGUAUAGGAGCUCCUGCUGCAUGGUGGGGGUUGGAAAGUUUCGGCGGUUGGGGAUGGACUCGCGGCUUAUCAGCUUGUUGGUGGGGUAGUGGCUUACCAAGGCUUUGACGGGUAGCCGGCCUGAGAGGGUGACCGGCCACAAUGGGACUGAGAGACGGACCAGACGCCUACGGGAGGCAGCAGUGGGAAAUAUUGCACAAUGGGCGGAAGCCUGAUGCAGCAACGCCGCGUGCGGGAUGACGGCCUUCGGGGUGUAAACCGCUUUCGCCUGUGACGAAGCGUGAGUGACGGUAAUGGGUAAAGAAGCACCGGCUAACUACGUG
Molecule: ribosomal RNA, 468 nt
Filed under: uncultured bacterium
Lineage: Bacteria
Description: partial 16S ribosomal RNA
Rfam family: Bacterial small subunit ribosomal RNA
Source: RNAcentral